This 1042-nucleotide small RNA is filed under the name uncultured Pelagibacterales bacterium. RNAcentral's name for it is "bacterial SSU rRNA". The stretch from base 1 to 658 matches the Rfam family "Bacterial small subunit ribosomal RNA", at positions 867 to 1533 of the family's 1533-position model. The record is from RNAcentral. Lineage: Bacteria; Pseudomonadati; Pseudomonadota; Alphaproteobacteria; Candidatus Pelagibacterales.
CACCGCCUGGGGAGUACGACCGCAAGGUUAAAACUCAAAUGAAUUGACGGGGACCCGCACAAGUAGUGGAGCAUGUGGUUUAAUUCGAAGAUACGCGCAGAACCUUACCAACACUUGACAUGUUCGUCGCGACUUUAAGAGAUUAAAGUUUUCGGUUCGGCCGGACGAAACACAGGUGCUGCAUGGCUGUCGUCAGCUCGUGUCGUGAGAUGUUGGGUUAAGUCCCGCAACGAGCGCAACCCUCACUUUUAGUUGCCAUCAUUAAGUUGGGCACUCUGAAAGAACUGCCAGUGAUAAGCUGGAGGAAGGUGGGGAUGACGUCAAGUCCUCAUGGCCCUUACGUGUUGGGCUACACACGUGCUACAAUGGUAUCUACAACAGGAAGCAAAACUGCGGGGUUAAGCAAAUCCUUAAAAGAUACCUCAGUUCGGAUUGCACUCUGCAACUCGAGUGCAUGAAGCUGGAAUUACUAGUAAUCGUGGAUCAGCGUGCCACGGUGAAUGCGUUCCCGGGUCUUGUACACACCGCCCGUCACACCAUGGGAGUUGGUUCUACCUUAAGGCAAGGUUUCAAACCCUUGACCACGGUAUAGUCAGCGACUGGGGUGAAGUCGUAACAAGGUAGCCGUAGGGGAACCUGCGGCUGGAUUACCUCCUUCCUAAGGAUGAGUGAAAGUAAAAUUUCACUCUAAAUAAUAUACAGGUAAUGUUGACCGUCCUCAUUUCUCUUCUUAAAGUAGUGUUUCUCUUGCAUGGGGGCCGGUAGCUCAGUUGGUUAGAGCACACCCUUGAUAAGGGUGGGGUCGAAAGUUCGAGUCUUUCUCGGCCCACCAAUUUAAGAUCAUGGGGGAUUAGCUCAGCUGGGAGAGCGCCUGAUUUGCAUUCAGGAGGUCAGCGGUUCGAUCCCGCUAUCCUCCACCAAACACUUAGUUAUGAAAAUAGUGAAUAUAUUAAAAUUAAUAUCAAUAUCUAUAUCCGAACAUUAGUAAUGUUAUUAGCUAAUGUUCAAAUAAAAAUUUGAUUCAACACAGAAUUUUUUUCUG